Molecule: long non-coding RNA, 822 nt
Filed under: Cyanistes caeruleus (blue tit)
Lineage: Eukaryota; Metazoa; Chordata; Aves; Passeriformes; Paridae
Description: lncRNA (ENSCCEG00000011732.1)
Source: RNAcentral
CUUUUAGUACACUCUGUAGUCAAUCCAGGUAGACAGGUGAAGGAAGAAGAGUAAAUUCCAGGCAGGGUCAGUUGAUGCUUUGGCACUAACAAUUGUAGAACUACACAAAAUAACCAUCUAAAUCUGCAUACCACAGAAAUAUUUGAAAGGUAGAUCUACUCUUUUUCAUCUGAGUAUCACACGAUAAUGCAAGUAUUUAAGAGCUACUGGUAAUAUCCACUUAGAGAUAGUCCAUGACAAACAACAGAGAUUGGCAGCCAUUGGCAUUAUGAGUUUCACUGAGUUAAUCAGAUUCCUCACAAUGAGGAAACCGACAGUGCAUCCACAAAGAGGAACAUCUCUGUCCUGCAGGCAACUUUAAGGAGGAUUUGGUUAUGUGUUUCAAUAAGAGAUUUAAAAUUGCACUCAUCAGUUUUCAGAAAUAUCAUUCAUUUAGAUUGUCACAGCUCAGUAGCCCUGGCAUUUAAAGUAGAAAAGGGGAGGUUACAAGACAGAGAUUUUUCUUCCCUGGAUGGGAGGCAGGACAGAAGAGAGGAUUGAAGAACAAGUCAAGUUAUAGCAUCUCUGCUCAGGUGCCUAGCAGUCCCUCUCAGGCUUUGUGCUGCUCACUGGUUUGCACUCUGUCACCCACCCCCUGAAUGUGUAGCCUUGCAGGCAGACUUGACUGCCCAGACUGAGUCAACACAAUCUGUGAGAAUGAUUUCAUGCUGGCACAGUCUUAACCAGUAAAGAUGUCUAAAAUUCAUAUAAACCUUUACAGAGCUGCCAGUUAGAAAAAAGAAAUGUAAAAUAUCUAAAGGGUAAGUGAAAUAAAGAAGUAUG